Molecule: long non-coding RNA, 14565 nt
Filed under: Solanum lycopersicum (tomato)
Lineage: Eukaryota; Viridiplantae; Streptophyta; Magnoliopsida; Solanales; Solanaceae
Description: long non-coding RNA (SLYC_LNC001056)
Source: RNAcentral
GGACAGGUUUGUCUCCAGACUCUGGAACACCAUUCUCAGCCCCUGAAGCAGCUGCAGCUCCUUUCGCAUCCUGCAUAUUUACAUCACUUUCUGCUGUAGUUGAAGGAGCAGCAUUAACUGAAGAUUCAUCUGUUUCCAUUUUGGCAGGUUCCUUAGCUGUCUCUUUCACAACUGGGACUUCCACCUCUUCUUCUUCCAAAAGCUAAAUUCCAAAGCAAAAUCAUGAGAUCAGAUGAUAUUAUUUCCAUUCACUAGAUAAUUGAACAAAAAAAGAAUUUUUGGACUUACUGUUGCAGACUCAACAGAGACGAUACCAUGCAGGUUUAGGCGUACUUUGACUUUUAGUUUAGCCCUUUCACCCUUCAUAGAUUGGAAUGGUCCAAUCUGUCAAAAAGUUCAAAGAGAAUCCAAGUGAGCCAAGGUCUCACCAGAAACCAGCGGAUCUACUUUCCUCUUAAUUUUAAGAGAAAAAAAACAUAAAAUCCAAUUAGUAAGUGGAACUCUGAAAUACCGUGUAAGUACUGAUUUUUGCUGGCGCCUGCAGUUCACUGACAUCAGCAUACUGUACAUCUAUUGUAAAUGUGCCAGAUCUGUAGAAUGUCAGAGCUUUCACACUGGGUAUCGGAUUCCCUUUGGGAAAAACAAUUGUGCUCUGAUGAUUCUCUAAAGCUCCAUUUUGUGCAUCUGGAGCAGGCCCCUUCCAAGAUAAUGCAAUUGGGAAAGGGAAGCUCUCAUUGACCUUCAAUCAGCCAACUAGAAUUCUUAGUACAGUUCUUGCACUCACAAAUCACCACAAUCUAUUGCUGGGAGUUAGAUGAGCAACUAGUAGCAUAAUAUUUAAGUAAAGGUUAAAAGCAACACAGCUGGCAUCUGCUUCACCAAAAAAUUUUAGUGCUUCUAUAAUAAAUCGUGCAUUUCCUUCAUCCUUCAAGAAGGCAAUUUCUUCUACCUCCUAAUUUGUCGUUCAUUACCCUUAUAUCUACACUUGAUUCAAGUUAACCAAAUGCAAACAACUAAAUCAAACAAAGGAAAAAUCAAAAGCAUGUUCUAAUACUUAUCUUCACACACUAAAUUAAUGCCUACAUACAUAAUUUUGCUAAUUUUGCUUUGAUUGGUUUUAAAUAAAAUGAAGUUGAAAACACUGAAUCCAAAUGACUAUGGAAAAAUAUAUUGACCAAGAGAAUGCAAAGCUGACAAGCUGUUACCUUGAAUUCUCGCACUUUAAAGGUAGGACUGAGAAUAGCGCAUUGCAGUGCAGCACCUUUGGCCACACAUUCACUUGCAUUCAUGGUGCGCCUCGGUUCCUUACCGAAGAACUCUGUUAAAAUCCUCAUAAUUGCAGGUACUCGGGAGCUUGACCCAAUAACCUCAACUGCAUGAAUGUUCUCAGUAGUAAGCCCAGCUUCAGCAAGAGCUUUCUCCAGUGGUUUCUUCACUCUCUCCAGUAUAGGGAUGCUGAUUUGCUCAAACUCAUCCCUCUUCAGAAACCCUCUAACGUCCUUCUCAUCCAUUAAACACUCUAUAUUUAAAGGUGCCUCGGGGUUUGCACUGAGAACCUUCUUCAACUUUUCACAAGCAGCUCGAAGCCUAAUGCAUGCCCUAGCAUUUUGGUAAACAUCUAUUUUGUAUUCUUCUUUGAACUUUGCAGCAAAGUGUUGGAAAAUAGCUUCAUCAAAAUCCCUCCCACCAAGAUUUCUGUCAAAUGAAUGAGCCAAUAUCUUCAAUUCGCCUUUCUUAAAGCCAGCAAUACAAACUUGCAAGCUUGCAUGCCCAACGUCAACAAAAGCAACAUUCAGAGGGUCAUUUUCAGGUAAAUCUGUCUUGUAAAUACCAUAUGCUAAUGCAGUAGCUGUUGUCUCAUGAAUUAGAUGCAAAGGAUGCAAGCCAGCAAUGGUGGCUGCAUCCAUUACAGCUCUUCUCUGGAGAUCAGUGAAAUAAAUUGGAAUUCCAAUGCAACAAUCAACUACUACUGCAUUGAGAUUCUUUUCUGCUAUAGUUUUGAGAUCCGAAAACACCAUUCCAAGAAUCUGGGUAGGUGUAAAAGUUCUCACUUCUCCCAAAUAUCGUGCAUGGAUCAGGGGAUAUCCAUCAGGCCCUUCAGUUACUAAGAAGGGAAGUGUCUUAAUAUCUCUUUGCAGCUCGGGAUCUGAAAAUUGCCGCCCUAUUAGCCUCUUUAUUUGGGAGAUGGUAUUCUUUGGAUUCAUCAUGCUUGAAGCUGCACCAGCAGUACCGAGAAAUCGUUGCUUCUCUCCGAAGCAGACUAUAGCUGGAGUUUCCCUUUUUGAUUCAUCAUUAAGUACGACAUCAAUCCCUCUCUGCCUAGCAACCGCAACAACGCCACUCUCAUUCCCAAAGUCAAAACCAACCACACUCAUCUUUUCUGGAUACGAUAACUACAACACAAAGGAAGUACCUAGACAACAUCAACAGACAAGAAUCAACUAAAACGCCAGCAUCCUCUGUGUGAGAAUCUACAUCAAAGAAGCCAUGGAUUUUAAAUGGUAGCACCCAAGAGCAAAAUCAAAAAGUGAUUGAUCUUCAAUCAAUAAGCUAAGAAAGCCGAUCACUGGUGGACAGGCUUUAUUGGAAUGCAAUUACUCUAUACAGUAAUUAUGAAUACACAGAAGAGGGCAAAUGAGUUCUGUCUUUUCUUUCAAGUAAAGAGAGAAGCCUGAAGUAAUCAACAAUCUCCAGCUAGGAAAGCUGAUCGCUCGUUGACGGGCUUUCUUGGAAUGAAAUUACUCUAUACAGUAUUUAUGGAUACACAAGAGAGCAAAUAAGUUUACUUUCUAGUAAAGAAUGAAUUAAGAUGGCAUGACGUGACCAACAAUGUCCAGAAACGUCAAUCAAAAACGUCAACAAAAAGAAUAAUAUAGACACAAAGUUCAAGAAUGAUUCUUCUUUUUCUAAUUUCCCCAAUAUCCCAAGUUACCGAAGUUCAAGUACACAAUUUUUAUCUAAUUUUACUGCCAAGGAAACUUUCAUGCAUGAAUGAUCUCGCACACCAACCGACAACGCAGGAAACUACACUAAACCACCAACGCAAACUCAAUUUUUUAAUAUACAAUCUAGCAAUACACCAAAUCCCUAUAUUUACCCUAUACAAAAUUUUAAAAAAUAGGCUCCACAUUGCCUUGUAUUAACUUAAGAGCCAAUUUGGAUUGACUUUGGCUUAUGACUUACAAGCCAAAAGCCAUAGUUAGAAAUCCUAACUUAUAACUUUUUGGCUUAGAUCCAAAUGCUUAAAAGCACUUUCUAAUCUAGCUCAAAACACUACAAAAUUGCUAAAACACUUAGAAUAGAUCAAUCCAAACAAACUUUACCUAAUAUGAACUCAAUCAUACAAAAAAAAUACUCAAAUGUUAAGAAUUGAUCUGAUUGAGGAUUAAGCAAAGAUCAUACCAUACCAAGCCUAAAGGAUUUUGAUCCAGACCUUCACACCUCUAAUCAUAAACCUCCUUAAUCAUUUCUUUACGUCUUGUAAUUUUCUAAGAAUAGAUUAAGAGUUCGCCGAAGCAACCAACAAUGCAGGAACAAUAACUGCAGUUCAUCUACUAAAUCAUGAAACUACAACACAGUCUAGACACAACAGAUUCAGUUUACUCCUAACAAAACACUAAACAACAUGCAAGUUAACCGAUAAUACUACAUCUCCAGCUAAACAUCACCAAAUCUAACAAUCAAAAGCAAAAAAAAUCGUAGAUCUACAAAUUGAAAUACAGAGAAUAAGAGUUUUGUGAUGCAAACAAUACCUUGAAGACGAAGAACGGAAUCGCAGUUCCACGAGGCAAAAGGAGAAAUAGUAUGACAAAACAGAAGGGUUUAAAGGAGAGCAAAAUAUAUGUAAAUGAAGAGAAGAGGGGUUUGUGUAGUAUUUUCGAGUUUUAUAUAUUAUUUAAUUUAUUUUUUUUUGGAGAGUAGGGGGAGGUUCGAGUGGUCCUAGAUGGGUCUAGAGGUAUUCUAGAAAGUUCUCACCCUUAGUGCACAAAUAGCCAUAUGUAUAGGAAGUCCUAUUUAUAAUUUAACCAAUAACAACAUAUAUUAGGUCAUGUCAAUUUUCAAAUAGUAUAUAAUUUUCAAAUAGUGUGUAUAUAUAUUAUUUUUUUAAAAUGUGGUAUUAUUAGUAAAGUAGUUUUGAGAACUAAUUAAAUAUAAUAUUUUAUGCAACUUUCAAAUAUGAAAUAACUUCAAAAAAAAAAGCAGAUAAAUUAAAAUAAAACGAGAGAUUUAGAAAAACUUUUAGUUAAAAAUAGAUAUGCCAACAAACAGUUACUUGCUACUAGCCGUUUUAUAUAAUAGUAAAAUAGCUUAAGACUUGAUUCAAAAAGAAGUUAUAUAAUGAUUAAGAUAACAUAACUAAUUAGACAAUGAUUGUCCAUGUAUGCACGGAUCAAACUUGAUAUGAAAGAGUUACAUUUUGGAGUUUGGCUAAUCAAACUUAAUACAAGAUCAAAAUCAAGUUCGAUAAACUCAAAGUAUUGAAAAUGGUAUAAAAUUACCCUCUAUCCAUCUAUUGGCUCCAUAAUAUCUAUCUCACCCACCUAUUGGGUCCAAAAUUCCCUUGUCAUCCACCUUUUGGUUCAAAAUUGAUCACUUAUUUAACGAUUUUAUAUAUAAACUAUUUUUAAAAAAAAUUAAAUAUGUCACGCUCAACUAUUGUUAUAAUUUAAUUUAUUAGUAUAAUUUAUAAAUCAAUCCACUACCUACCCAUUACUAAUUAAACCCACCAAAUUAAUAAACCCGUCACAAUAUUAAUGCAACAACAGAAAAGCUACUGCCAAUUGAGUGUAAUUUGAGACGAAAAUAUCUAUAGAAGUAAAUUAUCAUACACUCAAGUGUCCAAAUAAAAAUUACCGACAAAUUUAAAAGUCUGACUAUGUUCAUCUUAAUUAUUCUUACAUCUCAAUUAUGUGAUGUUACUUCAUAGGUAACUUUUUUUUCAAAAUAAUAUAUUAAAGGUUUUAAAACAAAUGAUAAAUAUUUAUAAAAGUGUAUUUUGAAAAAGUUCAUGAAUUAGUUCGGGAUAUAUUAAUUCUUUACAUUUAAUCAUAAAUUAGAAUAAAUUUCUAAUUCAAUCUUGAAAGAAAAUUCAAUUGAAAGUGUCCUCAUAAAUAAAAGGCUCAAUAUAAAUUUAAUUGGAGCUUUGAUUCGGACUCGAAUAAUUUUGGAUGUCAUUUUCAGGAAUCUAUAAUUUCAUCGUGUUUUAGUAGUGUUUAUGACGAUUUUGAUAUAAUAGUUGGAUUAUUAAUUGGGUGGGGUUUCAUUAGUAAUGAGUGAGUACUGAGUUGUUUAUAAAUGGUACAAAUAAAUUAAAUUAUAACCAAUAGUUGAGCAUCAAGUAUUUUAAAAAAUAUUUAAAUAGUUUAAAUUUAAAAUCAUUAAAUAAGUGGUCAAUUUUGAACUCAAAACAGGGGUAUUUUGGAGCCAAUAGGUGGAUGAAAAGGGCAUUUUGGAGCCAGUAGGUGGAUGAAGGGUAAUUUUGUAUCAUUUUCAAUACUUUAAGGGUAUUUUAGGUCCUUUUCCGUUUAUAAUUUAACCAUAACAACAUAUAUUAGGUCAUGUCAAUUUUCAAAUAGUAUAUAAUUUUCAAAUAGUGUGUAUAUAUAUUAUUUUUUAAAAAUGUAGAGUAGUUUUGAGAACUAAUUAAAUAUAAUAUUUUAUGCAACUUUCAAAUAUGAAACAAACUUUAAAAAAAGCAGAUAAAUUAAAACAAAAUGAGAGAUUUAGAAAAUUUUUUAGUUAAAAAUAGAUAUGUCAACGAACAGUUACUUGCUACUAGCCGUUUCAUAUAAUAGUAAAAUAGCUUAAGACUUGAUUCAAAAAGAAGUUAUAUAAUGAUUAAGAAACCAUAACUAAUUAGACAAUGAUUGUCCAUGUAUGCACGGAUCAAACUUGAUAUGAAAGAGUUACAUUUUGGAGUUUGGCUAAUCAAACUUAAUACAAGAUCAAAAUCAAGUUCGAUAAACUCGACAAGUUAUAACACCAAAAAAAUGAAAGGAGUCUAAAAAGGAUUUGGGUGGGCCGUGGGGGAGAGGGGGAGGUCAUAAAUAAAGUUAGAAAGAUUUGACAUUCUGCAUUCUGAAGGAAGAGAGCUUCAUCUAUCUAUCUGUGCUAAUUAUUACCCUAACUUUCCUUGAGAGAUUAGUGAAAGAGUUAAAAUCAUGAAAUGCACCAACGUUAUAACUCAUCAAUGUUAUAUUGACAGGUUUGUUAGUUUUCCUAAAGCAAUGACUGAUGAUCCAUGAAUUUCAACUAUUUAUUAUACUUCUUAAAUCAACGUAUUCAAUUUCCAAGACGUUUUCCAUUUUCUGUUUAUGCAUUUAGGUAAGAGUAAGAAUCAAUUUCUCUCAAACCCUAUCAUAACCUCUACUAACACACUAUUUAAGACCAUAGAUAGUGCACAAGCAUUGUCAGUUGUGUUGCUAGUACCUUGGUCUAAACCCAAAGAGUUAGCAAACAUCAUGUUGUCUUGGAUGUCUGUUUGUCUCUCUAAUUAGUCCUCCUCCACAACAACAAAUCAAAAUAUAUUAAGUGGCAACUGUUACGAAUAUUAAUGAGACUCUAAUUAGUUUUUAAAAAAUUGUUGAUAUGUAUACACAUUAAAUUAUUUUUUUUUUUAAAAAAAAAAAGCAAUUGUGUGCUCUUUUUUAUAUAACCCAAUUCAUAUUUAUUAUAUCAUCUAGCAAUUUGAGGUUGCGAUUCGCAGUUUAUAGUAUGUUCUAAAUUUAUUUGUUCUUCUUACUUGAUUUGAAGCUUUUAUAAUAUUUAAUACAAUUUUUUGUUUUUUAUUUUUGUCAAACUAUUAAAAUUUGAAAUAGUUUAAUAGUGUUUAAAUAGGAUUUGAUACUACUACUUGAAAGUUGUUUGAAAUUUUUUUAAUUUACAACAAAAAUUAAAGCGUCUAAAGUUUUACGAAUUCACUGGAAAAAAAGUAAAUUUUUUUCUCAAACUAGGAUAAUUUAAAUUUGAUCUCUUUAUGAAUAUCUCAUAAAUUUGCAGAAUAUUCGAGAUGCCUCUCCAAGAAAAUAUAUUUCCCUUUAUAUAAGCAUGAGAUAAGGUUUUAGGGUAGAGUUAUGACAUCCUAACUUAAGACAGGAAGCCCUACACCGACAAAUCACAUGAGAGAUAUUAGGUGUAUAAGUAAGCAGAUCUUACCAAUUAAUGAUGUAUUAUAAAAUUGUGCGGACCUAGGCCUAGAGCGGACCUAGGCCUAGAGCGGACAAUAUCAUUAGUAGAUCGGAUUGUUACAAAUGGUAACUUCGUCAUUCCUAUGUCAGCCUUGUCAAUUUGAGCUAGAAUUCAACUAAGUUUAACCAAAUCUCGAUAAGCGAGGCAAACCUCAGUGUUGAGUCUACAUCAAUAUCAUAAGGUAGGGCAAACCUCAACGACGAUGUUGAGUCCACAAAGGGGGUAUAUGUGAUGCUCCAGCUUAAGAUAAGAAGUCUCACAUCACCAAAACACAAGAGAGAUGUUAGGUAUAUAAGUAAGCAGGCCUUAUCAACAAGUGACGUGUUUUAAAGUCGUGCAUGCCUAGAUCCUGAGCGGACAAUAUCACUAGUGGAAUCGAAACGUUAGAAAAGUAGCUUCCAAGAUUCCUAACUGGAAUUAAACACGUCUUAUAGUCCCAUAAAAUUUGAAUGUCUUGAAUAUUAUACAUUACACGUGCAUUUUGAAUAACAAUUCUAAAAGAGGCUACUUUGUCUCAUUAUAAACUCUGUUAUACUUAGGCUUUAUUUGUUUCAGUUAAGAUUUAGAUAUUUUGCAACACCCCGCAACCAAAAUAGACCAAAAAUUAGCUUUACAAAAAAAAAAUCUACAGGUGCAACCAACGGUGGCAUCGACGGACUGUAGCCUGACCCACGGUCCAUCCUGCACAACCGUCGAUGAGAUCAGAAACUCCCAAAAAUUUCAGCCUAGAAAAAUUGGUUGAGUCUUAGACGACGGACAGACUUACGGUCCGUAGGUGGAAAUUUUGCAGACAGUUAAGGGGAAAUGCAAUUGGGUCAACUUCAAAUGGUCAUAACUCUUAGCAUAAAAUGAAUUAGGUGUCCCAUGACCUACCCACAAAUAGAUAAUUGAAUUAUCUUUCCAUAGCUACCGACCUUGCUACCAUCACACCUCUAAGUAAAAAGUUGUGCCCAUUUUAUUAAAGGCCUAUCGAAUAGGCCCAAUCAACGGACCCAACGAUGGGGCAUUGGUCAGACGACGGACCAUCAGUCCUGGCCGUUGUUUGGUCCAACAACAACAUUUCCAGGGGUCUUUUUGACCUUUUCCACUCUGUUUAAACCUUAAGUUACAUUGUUUUGACACUAAAUCAUCAUAUUUUAGUCAAUUUAAGCUUAGAAACAUAAUUAAAACAUAUCCAAGUCAAAUCAUUAAAUCAAAACAUAGAAAAUUAGAAGCAGAGAGGAGAAAAAGCUCAAGAACCCUAAUUCAAGAACGCCACAAGCUCCAGCAGUUCCAGCCCCGAAACUUAAGUAUUUUUUCGUGAAUUUUAUCACUAGGUAUGUGAGAUUGCACUAGUGGGUUCCUUUACCCAUUGGGUCCCUAGUUUUCAGUCAGAUUCUUGAUUUCCAUAUAAUGAUUAGAACUAGGGUUUCUAGAACUUUAACAGAAUUUCAUGAAUUUAAUAAAUAUAUGUUCCAAAUCAGAUUAUCAUAUUAUUACUCAGAUUAUCGCAUGAAUUUCAGACCCCUAUCUUUGUAUUUCUUUAGUUCUUGAAUACACAUGUUAGGUCAGAUAUUUCAGACACUUCAAAUAUACAUGCCUCAGUUAUAAAUGCAUAAUUACCCGAUUAAUUGUUGCAUUCUCAGUUUACAUAUUCAGUUUUGAGCUAUCCAGUAUUUACAAAAACUCAGACAUAAUCAAUUAAUUUACAGAAUUCAUGGGAGUAGCAUAAUACCGAGUUGGACUAGGGUUCAGCGUACCCAAUUAGUCCCAGAACUACUAGCCAAGUAGGUCGUAAGUCCCCUCUGUGGGCAAUCAGUUUAGUAAUCACGCCAGCAUGCCUUUAUACAUUUGGCAGGGUAUAUUGGGUCCUCUCGAUGGAGCAUAUACAUCAGACUCCACAUUUAGCUCAUGUGAUUUUAAUUAUCGAUUAUUAGUAGCUCCCACAGAUCAGUUAGACUCUCUGCAUUGACUAUUUAUCUGUAUAUUCAGUUUCAACAUGUUAUAAAUUGGUUAUUGCAUUCAGUUAGCUCAGAAAUUCAGUAUAUUAUGUUCAGAUUAUUAUACUUACUUUUGUGCUUGUUCAGUUAUGUCUUAUUUCAGCUUUACUCUAUCCUACAUGCUCAGUACCUUUCAAGUACUGACACAUACGUGCACUACAUCUUCUCGUGAUGUAGCUUCAGGUUCUCAGCAUCUAAAUCACGCAUAGAUCGACUUCCGAUCUCCAGUUUAGCAGAUUCAGUGGUGAAUCCUCAUUCUCCGAGGACAACAAUCAUGAGUUUAAUUUCAGUCUUCAGUUAUUUAGUUUCAGUUUUGCUAGAUUUAGCUGGGGCUUGUCCCAGUAUUUCUAGUCCAGUGUAGAGGUUUAUUUCAUACACAGUUAGAUUCAGCUUAGUAUUGAGUUAAUAUUUUCUUUAUAUUAAACUCAUGAUUUUCAAAUAUCUCAGUUAUAGAAUAUGGGUAGUCCCCAUCUUUUCAGAUUUAAUUAUGAUUUAGCUUCCGCAUCAGUUUAUUAUCUUUAGUAUGCUCAUGAUCAUACCAGCAGGGUUAGCUUGGGAUCACUUGUGGUUCUAAGUUCCGUGUCGGCGUCUGGGGAGUAGCUCGGAGCGUGACAUAUUUGCAGGGGCGGACCUACAUUGUAGGCUUCGGGUUCUCAAGCACCCACUAACGCGUAAGGUAUAAAGUUAGAUAAAAAAUAUUUACAAUUAAUAUAUUAAACAGUUUAACACCCACUAAUACUAAAGUAAUAUAGUCGCUUUGAUUCUGAAGUUGAUUAUCCCACUCUCAUCACGCAAGAGAACAUGGGUUUGAAACUCGUUGGAAGCAAAAAAAUUCAGGCUUAUUACUAACUGCUUUCAUAUAUUACUAAACAUUUUCUCUUCUUGUUCCUUUUUUUCAAUCUUCGCCCUUUUUUCUCCUGACAUUUCAAUCUUAACUUCUUCUUUUUUAGCUUAUUUUUUUACAUUUUUAAUUUCUUAUAACUCAUUUAUUGCAACAAAAAAACAAGAUUUUAAAAACAUCAGAGUGUAAAUAUAUGUAAUUGUCAACAUUCAAUGAUAUGAUACAAUAAUUCAAUAUCUUCAAAUUAUGGAAGAUCGUCGCAAAUCAUCUUUUAGAAGCUUUUUUUCUUUUAAAAAGAAUAUAUUAAUAUUAGUGAUAGUUCGCUCGGUAACUUAUGACUUAUAAGUCUUAUUUAUAAUAAUAAGUCUUUUAUUUCACAUUAAGUAAAGUGCUUAUAUAUUUAUAGUAAAAAGUGCACCCAUGAUCUUAAAAUCUUGGAUCCGCCACUAAAUAUUUGAAUCUGAAUGUAUAUUUGAAUAAUUAAGAUGCGGCAUUUAGAUUUGAACAUUGAGUGAUUAAGAUUUUUUAAUAUUUGAAUAUACAUAAUUUAUUUAUAUGAUACAUAUAAAUAUACAAUUUGAAUAAACAGUUAAAAGUCAUAAAUAAAUAAUUGUACCAGUACUCUUUUGACUUUUGACUUAUUUUUUUUUUAAAAAAAUAGCCUAAAAAUAGGUGCUUAGUUAUAAUUUUUCCAAAUACCUUCAAAGCUAUUUAAAAGUCAAAAACACAUAAAAUAAGGUAAUUCAAACGGACACUUAUAUUUGCUAGUAAUGAUAGAGAUAGCUGAAAGUAGUGAUAGUGAUGAUAAUAAUUGUUGUUAUGAUGAUAGUGGUGAUAGUGUGAAGGUGGAUAUGGUUAAUGUUGUGGUGACUAAUAUAAUAAAAAUAACAAUGGCGAUUGAUAAUGGUGUUGGUGCUUGUAAUGAUGAAGUCGGUUGUCCACAAUUGACGGUGUUGAUGAUAACCGAAGAAUGUGUGAUGAUUGGUGAGAUAUUUUGUUGUAGUCAGCGGCAGUGCUGGUUAUGAUAAUGGAGGAAGUUAGUAGUUUAGACUAACCACGGUGAUCGUAACAACUAGCAUUAGUGUUGGUAGUGGCAACAGUGCUAGUUGUGAGACACAGUUUGUUGAUACUAAGACUUUACUAUGAUGGUAAUAGUAGUUGAUAGUAGUAGUGGAGGUGAUUAAUAGGAGUAACUGUUCGGAUGUACAACCCUUAAUCAAUAAGAUUCAUUAUUAUAUCAGUGAUAGCGGCUAUAGGGACAAGGAAGAUAGUAACAAUGGAUAUAAUCAUAAUGAUGGAAGAGAUAAAUAUAGUAGCAACACCUAAUAUUAGUAGUUAGCAACAAUGACGUUUAUGAUGACAGAGGCAGCUGGUGAUUGAUAUCGAUAAAGUAGUUGAUAAUAGUGGUGGUGGUGGUUGUGACAUGGAAAAUCGGGUAGCAAUGGUGGGUGAGAUUGUGAAUAGAGUGACAGAAAAUACUAUCCACAUAAGAAUACCUCUUAAUGAUCUUAUGACUCUAUUUUAAAUCCUAGACUUAUUUUGACUCGUUAAGUACUUAAAUCUUGAUAAAAAGAAAUAUUAGUUGUCUAGUACAGUGUAUAAGAAUAAUGAUAAAUAAAAUGUAUUGAUAAUGCUUGCAUUAGCAAUGCAUGUAUUAGUGCAUUAAUUAUACAUAAAUUAUUUUAAUGCAUUGUUUGGUUUAGUGCAUUAAAAAUAGUAUGUAUUGCAUUAAAAACGUAUUUACAAAGAUACCCUUCACUUUUAUGGAGGAAAAGAUGUAAAAAAAAUUUUUGAGGAUAAUUAAGUCUUUUAUCAUAUUAAUGCAUGCAUUAAAAUCACUGCAUUUGUUGAUACCAUCUUAAUACACAAUUCCACGAGACAUAACUUCUGACAUAUUUCUAUAUAAGUUUAGAAAGUAGUGAUCAAAGGACAUUGUUAAAUUAAAAAUACUAAAUUUAAGUUUGGACCAAACGGGGCUCCUUCUCAUUUGAAGCCACAUUCACAAUGACAGGGUUAGUGAAAUAAUAUAAAACCACAUUGGAGACGUAUUUCAAUAUAAAACUAUAAACCAUUUCCUGUUUCCUUUUCAUUGUACUUAGUGUUGCCAUUAUCAUCAAAUAAUUGAGAAACAUAAUAGGCCACUUGCAGCAAGCAGUCACUCCAAAUUACAAGAAACGAAGUAGGCCAUAUUACUCACCCUUUCUCAAUUUGCCAAUGCCCAAAUCAAUAUAAAUGAACAUUAUAUCAAUCUUUGCUUGGAGUACAUAGUUACUUCAGAUCCUAAGUUCAGGUUGAUACCUCAAGCAAUAGAUCAUAAUUGCACAGAAAAAAAGAAAAAGGCAAGCGCAAACACAUUCUAGCUACAAGGAGCCAAACACCAGCUCAACAAAUCAUUUAGUGACCAACAGAAAAUGUCAGAGAACGGCAGCAGUUGUACAUAACAUCAAAACCCUCUGAAAAAACAGGUUUUUUGAGAGUCGUUAUCAAAUAAUAUAACUUGACAAGACAUCCGUAUGGCCGAAAUAGAUCACAACAAUUUAAUGACAAAAUCUUUCGACUGCUACUAUAGGUCUGAUCUUUUAAAAUGUAUAAAGGGUGAAACGCAAAACGUAAUACAAACCCAACAAAGUCUCUCUCUUCCUUCCAAAUCUUCGAGCAUCAAACCAUCAACUUAAUUCAUGAUGCACUUGGCACAUCAGAUUUGUCCGUCUCCAUUGGCUCGCCAGCAGGUGGUGCGCCACUGUCAGCACUAUCACCCUCAGUAGCAUUAGGACUCGCUGCACCCUGAGGUUGUUGCUCACCUCCUUGAGAAGAUUGAGGUGACGGUGUUUCAGGAGUUGCUGGCUUAGCUGGCUUAGGCUUUGUCAUUAUAGGCCUACAGACCCUGUAGAAACAAAUAGUUAAAAAGUGGGUUAAGCAGACAGAAAAAUAUAGGGAAGGAAGAAAUAAACAAAGAAAUGCUCUUAUGUAGAAGGACAGCAACUAGCAAAGCAAGAAAUGAUAUUGACAGACUUUCCAAUAAAAUUAGCCCAAAUAAUGCGAUCUACAAGUUAUGGCAAAAUCCGACCAGAGGCAAUAACAAUAGCAACUAUUCAUUUGUCCAAACCUUGGUGUACCAAGAUACCCAAUACCUUUGCUGGUGGAAGGUAGCAGGUACACUGUGGAAAUACCACCUUCAUCAAGAAAAAGAAAAGGAAACUCAAUGAACAACAGACCUAUCAAGUGCUUCUGCUUUCUUUCGAACAUCAGCUGACAAAAGAACAGGGUUGGCAUAUUUUGGAAGAGCAUCCUGCUGCUGUUUUUUCUCUCUAUACCAAGCCUCAGCUUCGACACACUCAUUCAAGACCUAGGAAUUGCAAGAGAAACAUAAGCAUCAAACCACAUUCUCAGGAACAAGAUAGGCGAGCAUAUGAUGAUGAAAAGGCAAAUAGCAAGAUCAAGCACACCCAUGCAUACCUUCUGCUUCUCAGCUAAAUCAAUGUGAUCAAACUUGGGAUCACUUGACACUGCCGCCUCUCUGUAACUAUUUAUGCAAUAAAUAAAUUGAUCAAUCACAGGACCCCUCUCCGUGUGCUCUUUGUAGCGUUGCUCAAUCGGGUCACCUUGCUGCAGAUCCACACUAAAUGAGCUCUAUGUAUGCCAAAAAGACUAGCAAAAAAGGAAAUGCUAGAAACACAGACCUUUUUAAGCUCCUCAAGCUUGGCGAUGUAAACACCCUUAGUUUCAUCCUCUCCAUCUUCAUACAACCAAUCUUCCACUUCUUGAAGUACAGCCAUAAAUUGUUCUCUUUCUGAAUCAGUUACAAACUCUUGAUAUUUAUCUGAAAGCUGGAUAUAAUAAGAAGAAAGUUGUCAGUGACAUAACAAAUGUUUUCAUACAACCACCAUAAAAAGCCAACUGAUACCUUAUUCCUCAUGUCAUAAACAUAGGACUCAACAGCAUUCUUUUUGUCCUUUGUCUCUUCCAUAACACGGUCCUGAAGAGCCAUUUCAAAUUCUUUCUCAACAGCCUUCUGAACAUCAGCAGCUGCCAUUGCACCAUAAACAAUCUCAGUCACUGGUACCGAUGUCUUCUUGACCCUCUUCUUAGGGGCUUCGACCUGAAAAAAAAUGAACACAAUAAAUGCGACAUCUUUGAGCUAAACACACUGAAACAGAAGAAGAAUUCUAAAUAUAACCCAACAUUAAUUAAGCAAGAAAAGCACUACACUAAUGCCGAAUUAAAAUAUUGGUGAAUUCAUGAGUUUCCUGCAUUUCAUGCAUAAAUCAAAUCCUGACAAUUUGAACAGAUGCCAUAGGUUGAUCUUAUAACAAUCAAGUAUGAUUGAUAGAGAAACAUAAACUAGCUCAAGCAGUAAUUAAAAGACGUGAAAGCGAGAUGUUACCUUAGCAUCUGACUCCAUCUGGACAGGUUCAUCUCCAGAUUCUGGAACACCAUUCUCAGCCCCUGAAGCAGCUGCAGUUCCUUUAGCAUCUUCCAUAUUCACAUCACUUUCCGAUGUAGUUGAAGGAGCAGCAUCAGCUGAAGCUUCAUCUGUUUCCAUUCUGGCAGGUCCCU